AACACAUGCCCCUCGAGCGAGAACAAAUAUUAUUUUGCUAAUUUGCUGACAAGCGGCGGACGGGCGAGUAAUGCCUGGGAAUAUGCCUUGAUGUGGGGGAUAACUAUUGGAAACGAUAGCUAAUACCGCAUAAUGUCUUCGGACCAAAGAGGGGGAUCUUCGGACCUCUCGCGUCAAGAUUAGCCCAGGUGAGAUUAGCUAGUUGGUGGGGUAAGAGCUCACCAAGGCGACGAUCUCUAGCUGGUCUGAGAGGAUGAUCAGCCACACUGGAACUGAGACACGGUCCAGACUCCUACGGGAGGCAGCAGUGGGGAAUAUUGCACAAUGGGCGAAAGCCUGAUGCAGCCAUGCCGCGUGUAUGAAGAAGGCCUUCGGGUUGUAAAGUACUUUCAGUCGUGAGGAAGGGUGUGUAGUUAAUAGCUGCAUAUCUUGACGUUAGCGACAGAAGAAGCACCGGCUAACUCCGUGCCAGCAGCCGCGGUAAUACGGAGGGUGCGAGCGUUAAUCGGAAUUACUGGGCGUAAAGCGCAUGCAGGCGGUCUGUUAAGCAAGAUGUGAAAGCCCGGGGCUCAACCUCGGAACCGCAUUUGAAACUGGUGAACUAGAGUGCUGUAGAGGGGGGUAGAAUUUCAGGUGUAGCGGUGAAAUGCGUAGAGAUCUGAAGGAAUACCAGUGGCGAAGGCGGCCCCCUGGACAGACACUGACACUCAGAUGCGAAAGCGUGGGGAGCAAACGGGAUUAGAUACCCUGGUAGUCCACGCCGUAAACGAUGUCUACUUGGAGGUUGUGGCCUUGAGCCGUGGCUUUCGGAGCUAACGCGUUAAGUAGACCGCCUGGGGAGUACGGUCGCA
RNAcentral lists this ribosomal RNA (851 nucleotides) under uncultured Aliivibrio sp. Its description in RNAcentral is "bacterial SSU rRNA". It matches the Rfam family "Bacterial small subunit ribosomal RNA", at positions 50 to 890 of the family's 1533-position model. The record is from RNAcentral. Lineage: Bacteria; Pseudomonadati; Pseudomonadota; Gammaproteobacteria; Vibrionales; Vibrionaceae.